This 369-nucleotide ribosomal RNA is filed under the name uncultured bacterium. RNAcentral describes it as "bacterial SSU rRNA". It matches the Rfam family "Bacterial small subunit ribosomal RNA", at positions 28 to 399 of the family's 1533-position model. The record is from RNAcentral.
GACGAACGCUGGCGGCGUGCCUAACACAUGCAAGUCGAGCGGUAAGGCCCUUUCGGGGGUACACGAGCGGCGAACGGGUGAGUAACACGUGGGUGACCUGCCCUCAGCUCUGGGAUAAGCCUGGGAAACUGGGUCUAAUACCGGAUAUGACUCCAUGACGCAUGUUGUGGGGUGAAAGCCUUGUGCGGCUGAGGAUGGGCCCGCGGCCUAUCAGCUUGUUGGUGGGGUGANGGCCUACCAAGGCGACGACGGGUAGCCGGCCUGAGAGGGCGACCGGCCACACUGGGACUGAGACACGGCCCAGACUCCUACGGGAGGCAGCAGUGGGGAAUCUUGCGCAAUGUGCGAAAGCCUGACGCAGCGACGCCG